This 2299-nucleotide long non-coding RNA is filed under the name Bos grunniens (domestic yak). RNAcentral's name for it is "lncRNA (ENSBGRG00000021109.1)". The record is from RNAcentral. Lineage: Eukaryota; Metazoa; Chordata; Mammalia; Artiodactyla; Bovidae.
AUGCAUUCCACUGAGACCACAGAAAGAAAAAGUGAAGAUCAAGACACCAUGACAUCACCUUGUGUUCUGCCCGUUGGAUCCACCGGAAUGAGCCUUUCCCCUGCUUCAAGUCGGCAGCCGAGUGGUAGAUCUCCCCACUUGCAGGACAACCUUCUCGGCCUUCUGCACCUCCUCCACCGCAGUUUGUCAGGCUACCAACCCUUCUCCCAGAACGUACGCCAAGGGCCCAGGCCUGGCGGCCGCCUCCAUCCCUGGCGAGGCUGUGAUGGAAGAACACUGAGCAGGCACUCAGGCACCGGGUUCCCCAGCGAUCGGGUCUCUGCAGUGAUCCUAGGUAGGUGAUGGGCAUGGCCGGUGAUCUCUUAAGUUUCCCUCUACUUUGAGUUGCCAUGCCAUCUGCCAACCUCCCCAUCAGCAGUGUGCACCCAUCCCAGAGUGUGGCUGGAAGGUCAAGGGUGCUAAUACACAAUGUGCCUGGCCUGGAACAAAGGCUAUGUGGGUGUGACCGUCCCCACAGCUACGUGUCUGACCCAGAACUGACAAGAACUUCAUGCCCUACUAUUUAGGGAAUGCGGUUCUUCCUCCUAUGGUCCUGGCAGGGUAUGGGGAAGAGACUGGACCCUGUGGCCACCACAGAGAACAGAACAGGGCCCUCGGGUCAGCAGGCACUGACUGCUUAGACCAUGGGCAGACCACUUAAUUGAGCAGGUUCUUGUCUUGACUUGAGGGCCACUGCUACCUGUAAAAGGCUAAGACUUUGAAUAGAAUGUAUCCACUGUUUUGAUUAAUUUCCUGUAGGUGGGAAAAAAGGCCUAUAAAACAAAAACACUGAAACACAGAAAAUGACAGUUCUUUUAUUUUGCUAGCUGAGGGAAAGUUAUAAAAUAAAACAGACAACACAGAGCUUUGCAACUUCCUUGGAGGCAAGGAACACAGAGAUGAACAAUGACCAGGCAACAAACACAGGGAUCCAGACAUGUAAACAAGACAGAACUUCCAGAAAGUUAUUUUAUACAUUACAACUUCAGAAUACAGCAGCUCUUGCAGGCUCUAGAGUAAAAUGAAGCAAGACUCUUCCAAAACCAUCCACACACAUUCCGAGCUGUGUCAGAAGGCCCCUCCGCAUCCCAGGCUGGGUGGAUGCUGCAGAGAGGCCAAGACUGGGGCCACCUGGGCUUUGGCUUUGCAGGCGACUCCACCUGCUCUGUGUUCUCUCGAGUUUGCCUUCUCACUCUUUGGAGACUAGCUCCAGCCCCUGCCUGUCUCUCCUUUGACCCACAGCCCUUUCCUGUUCUUAGUAGGAAACCCGGCUAAAGCCAGGGGAGCCUGGCCGAGUCCUUCUAGGAGUCCUUCUAAUGCAGGGGUGGCUCCUCCUCAGGGCUCAAGGGCCAACCCUGCCGUUAGAAAAACAGCAAAAAGGCUACAAAGAUAACCAGUUAACCAUCUCAUACUGUCCUCCUCCAGAAGCUUCUGAUGUGUUUGGUUAUUACUCUGUCCCAUGUUUUGCUCCUGUCCUAGGGUUUUGACUCAGCCAGGAAAAGGCAGGCCUCGCAGCCUGGCCCUGCACUCUUCCUGUUACUGCCAGCGGUGGGCCCUGGGCGCAUCACAGACUCACAACCCCACCACUGGCCUUAGCCCCACGACCCCAGCCAGACAAACCCUCGGCCUCUGGAAUGGUGAGUUGUUCCACCCAUGGUCUGUCAUCAGGAGGCCAGAGGGCUCUCGGUCACCCGGAGGCUGGCCUUGAAAGGAUGCAGGAAGGCGAAUUAUAAGGAGGGAAGAGCAGAAGCUGUGACGGGCUGUCCCAUCAGGAGGAGAGAACGGGCGCAGUGCACCCUCCCCAGGGCUGGAGGGAAGUCUUCGAUUAAAUAUCUGGGGAAAGACGAGGGUGCGGGAGGGCAGCCACCCCACAGCCGAGGCACAGGGGCGGUGUGAAAUGUCCAGGAUAAACACAACCGCUGGGAGGAGAAAUUCAGCUCCAUCCUCUCUCAAAAGCAGUCGCCAUCGGCACCAAAAUAUAUUAAUAUCUGUACACUUGUCAUCUUUUAAAAAGAAAUAAAACCUCCUUGGCACCAGUAGUUGAUUUCUUAAAAUGAGGUGAUACGUGGCAAGGCCUCCUGUGUACGCACGCCCACGGCUGUGCACACGCUGCAUCUCCCUGUCAACGAGCAGAGCCCUGCAGCCCUGAGCAAGAGGAACACAGCCGAGUGGGCCAAAGCCAGCUCCUCCACCGCUGGCGCCACCGGGUGUCCUUUGUCAGGGCACCCGACUGCCAUCCACGGGAACCAGCUGCCCCUGC